GACAACGCUGGCGGCGUGCUUAACACAUGCAAGUCGAACGGUGAACCAGAGCUUGCUCUGGGGAUCAGUGGCGAACGGGUGAGUAACACGUGGGCAACCUGCCCCAGACUCUGGGAUAACCUCGGGAAACCGAUGCUAAUACCGGAUACGACCACUUCGGACAUCCGACGGUGGUGGAAAGUUUUCGGUCUGGGAUGGGCCCGCGGCCUAUCAGCUAGUUGGUGGGGUAAUGGCCUACCAAGGCGACGACGGGUAGCCGGCCUGAGAGGGCGACCGGCCACACUGGGACUGAGACACGGCCCAGACUCCUACGGGGGGCAGCAGUGGGGGAUCUUGCACAAUGGGCGAAAGCCUGAUGCAGCGACGCCGCGUGAGCGAAGAAGGCCUUCGGGUUGUAAAGCUCUGUCUGGAGGGACGAACAAAAUGACGGUACCUCCGGAGGAAGCCACGGCUAACUACGUG
Molecule: ribosomal RNA, 462 nt
Filed under: uncultured bacterium
Lineage: Bacteria
Description: bacterial SSU rRNA
Rfam family: Bacterial small subunit ribosomal RNA
Source: RNAcentral